GACCGGUUGGCGCAAUGGUAGCGUAUAGACCUCCUACAACAUCUAAGCCCAUUUCAAGUGGUUGUCUUAGAGUAGAGGUCAGUCUAGGGUUGCGGGUUCGAGUCCCGUGCUGGUCG
Non-coding RNA from Hypoxylon argillaceum, 116 nucleotides. The record is from the annotation of a GenBank genome assembly. Lineage: Eukaryota; Fungi; Ascomycota; Sordariomycetes; Xylariales; Hypoxylaceae.